This 76-nucleotide transfer RNA is filed under the name Clostridioides difficile. RNAcentral's name for it is "tRNA-Glu(ttc)". The stretch from base 7 to 65 matches the Rfam family "tRNA", at positions 8 to 63 of the family's 71-position model. From Rfam's summary of the family: Transfer RNA (tRNA) molecules are approximately 80 nucleotides in length. Their secondary structure includes four short double-helical elements and three loops (D, anti-codon, and T loops). Lineage: Bacteria; Bacillati; Bacillota; Clostridia; Peptostreptococcales; Peptostreptococcaceae. The record is from RNAcentral.
GGUGCAUAGCUCAGCUGGAUAGAGCCACCGCCCUUUCACGGCGGUAACAGGGGUUCAAUUCCCCUACGAGUCACCA